UAUGGCUCAGUGGUCGAGUGCUUGCUUACCAUGUGAGAGGCCCUGGGUUCAAUCCCCAGUA
RNAcentral lists this transfer RNA (61 nucleotides) under Neotoma lepida (desert woodrat). It matches the Rfam family "tRNA", at positions 6 to 65 of the family's 71-position model. From Rfam's summary of the family: Transfer RNA (tRNA) molecules are approximately 80 nucleotides in length. Their secondary structure includes four short double-helical elements and three loops (D, anti-codon, and T loops). The record is from Rfam by way of RNAcentral. Lineage: Eukaryota; Metazoa; Chordata; Mammalia; Rodentia; Cricetidae.